UAUAUUUGAUGGUGUCACAAGUGUGAGUGUGACGAGACUGAGCAUGGCCUUCUAUGGUACCACGAGAUGGGAGUAUAGACCACGUGGCAAUUAUGUAAGUAGGUAUUUGCACAUAAUGAAAUGUGGUCCUUAGGUUGUAAACAUGACUCACCUGUUUUGACAGUAUGAACUUAAUUCGACUUCAUUGUUACUAAUUAACUACUUAGAUUUGAUACUAUUGCGAGGUCUUUAACCGUUUAAUAAUGUUUUAUCAUGAAACUUGAAUUGUGUGGAACAGUACCACUACUUGCAGCUUGCAGGGUUCUCCUCUAAUCCGAGUAAAUACAUGGUCUGCUUUCUAUGUUCAUUGUAUUUUUGUUAAUUAGGGUUUCUGAUAAGUGGGUCGCAAACAAAUUCAAUUUAGGGUUUAGGGUUUCGCCGAUUGAAGGAAAGUUUGGGUAUUUGAUACAGUGGGUUGCAACAUAUUCAAUUUGGGGUUUAGGUAUUGUUUUAGUUGGUUAAAUUAGAUUUUAUUAUCUCUAACGGAAUUGUUGAUUGCCGUUUGUGGUCUUUUGGUGCAGAGAAGCAUAUCCACAUUAAUGAUGCAUGAGUCGAUAUCUGCUUUGUUAAUCUGCAUUCCAAUUCGAUUUCUGCUAAAAGUUGAUUGUGGUUUUGAUUUUGUUCUUGAAGAUGUUUUUGUUUUUGGCUUAGGAUGGUCACUAUUAGGAUUUCAAUUCGAUUUCUGCUAAGGUAGAGAUAAAUUGUACAAUCAACUGCAUCUGCCCAGAUAUUCUUUGGUAAAUUAUCUGUUCUUCUCAUAGUAAUGAAUGUAAAUUAUGGCUUCAGCAACUACUGCAGACUAUCGUUGUGUUUUGGCAGGUGGCUUCUCCUAUGGAGACACUGGGUAGGGAUGCAACCAAAUUGGAAAUGAAUAAGCGAACAUACAUAGUUGCAAAUAUAUCAUUUCUUAGUUGAGAGUCUUUGGAAAUUAGUUCAUGAUUGAGUUUUGGUCUCUAACAUAUAAGGAAGUGGUAAGCGGUAAUGUAUGGUUCUUUAUACUUUUAUCUGUGGUUGUUUAAAUUAUCUCAGACUGUGUUUCACGUAUGCAGUCAUGAAUAUGAACAUUUGUAAGACAACUCAGGUUGUUUUCUACUCAGUUGAUGUGAGCCACAGUUCAUGUGGUUGGGCAAUUUCUUUAUCUGAAAUCUGUAGGACUAAAUGUUCAGUGGUCAGAUUAUUUUUUGCAGGCACGUGCUUAGUGUACUAUCAGUAUGCGGAAUUUCUCAUCUCAGUUAUGGUUAAAAGUGUUAUUUUGUUAUGUUAGACAACAUGGAUCCUAUUUACUCCCUUUCCAGGAUGUAUCUUUCAACCUAUUUUAAUUCAUAAGGUACUGUUACUAUCUACUUAAAACGCUAAAAGGAUAACAGAUUUUUAUAAUAUGUUAAUUCUAGGCCGAAGCUGAAGUUCAGAGAUUGGAUCAACUAAAAGCACGUAAGAUGAAAGAAAUUUUUCGUAAGAAGCAAGAUGAACUGAAAAAUAUAUGCAAGAGGACUUUCAUGGAAAGGCCAUCCCAGUCAGAGACCCAGUCAGAGAUUGACAAUAUACUGAACCAAAUAAAUGCUGGUGAGCACAGGACUGGUAUACCAAUGACUAGCUCACCAAUGAUUGGGCUAUGGAAAAUGCAUGGGAAAUUGACCCCACUGAUCUCCUUAAAAUCAUGGAUGAGCAAAUAUUUAAGGACUAGAAUGAUUGGACUAGAACGCUGGCUGGAAGAGUAUAACAUGAAUGAAAAUCGAUAUUAAAUUAGUAGAGGUGCUCACAAGAACCUGAAACUGGCAGAAUGUGCACGAAUAACGGUUAGCAAAGUCGCUGAUUGGGACGUGCUGAAACGGAUGUGUACCAUCUUAAGAAUGCAGGUAAAAAAGCCAGGUCUAAUAUGAUUUCUCAAGUAUAGACUCUUCAAACUCAUCUCAAAAAAUCAAGAAAAUAAACAAAAAGAUUAGAAUGCAGUUCUGCGAACUAAGACCAGGUAAACAUGAAGCGGCAGAAUUCGACAUCGAGUGCAAGUUGAGUUCGUCCUGACAGAAGGGGAAAGAUCGCCGCGAUUUUUUUUUGGUAGAAAUCAAUGAAAUUCCUCACUCAUUAUACUGUAACUCCACAUGAUACAACAGGUGAAAAAAAAAUGUAUAAAAGGAUUACCAGAGACUAAUGAGCAUCAUGAUGCAACUGGUGGCCAACAUGGUGAUGAAAACUUUUGCAUAAAUAAAAGCUGCAGAAAAGUGCAUUACCAAACAGUAAUGAGCAUGAUGGGGAAAAUGGUGGUGACAAACAAGGGGGUAUGAAUAUAUGAUCAAGUGCGCCUUUCUUAGCAUUUCAGAUUUCCUUAUUGAACAUUUAGUAUUUUUAAGACGCCUUUGUUUUUAUUUGUUAAGUAGAGUUUGAGAAUUUCUUAUGCAUCAUACUGUUCUCUUAUGCAAAUUCUUAUUACUUUGGUAUCUAAGUUUUGACAACUAAUUAAACUCAUCAAUUAAACUCCUCAAUUGAUAAACUACUGGGCGCCGAGUGAUACCAAAUUAAAAAAUGCACUUCGAGGGGAUGAGGCGAAGCGGACAUACCAAAUCAAAAAUGCAUCGGGACGUUGGCGUGGCGAAUCCGAGACGCCAAAUCAAAAAUGCAUCGUGACGGAACGAGGCAAAGACCAGCCACACCAAAUAAAAAAUGUAUCGGGACGGGGGCGAGGCGAAGCCGAGCUACACCAAAUCAAUAAUACAUCGCGACGGUACACGACGGGACGAGGCGAAGCCGAGCCACGCCAAUCAAUAAUACAUCGUGACACCAAAUAAAAAAUGUAUCGGGACGGGGGCGAGGCGAAGCCGAGCUACACCAAAUCAAUAAUACAUCGCGACGGUACACGACGGGACGAGGCGAAGCCGAGCCACGCCAAUCAAUAAUACAUCGUGACGGUACACGACGGGGCGAGGCGAAGCCGAGCCACACCGAAUCAAAAAUGCACGACGAGGCGAGGUGAAGCCACAUUACACCAAACCAAAAAUAUGGUUAAAUGAAGAAAAAAAUGAUGGUGGAUGGUUUUCAAAGACGCCCGGUGCGUUGCACGGGCAUAAAAUCUAGUUGAGUAUGAUUUCGUGUUUGUAGAUUUGAUUUCGAUUUAGUUUCAAAUUUCUUGAAGAUAAAAACAAUUAAUAAUAAUAUACCCUAC
Papaver somniferum (opium poppy) is the source of this 3196-nucleotide long non-coding RNA. RefSeq lists it as uncharacterized. The record is from RefSeq and is a predicted model, not a curated record. Lineage: Eukaryota; Viridiplantae; Streptophyta; Magnoliopsida; Ranunculales; Papaveraceae. The transcript is spliced from 4 exons.